Molecule: ribosomal RNA, 918 nt
Filed under: Penicillium sp. DV-2018p
Lineage: Eukaryota; Fungi; Ascomycota; Eurotiomycetes; Eurotiales; Aspergillaceae
Description: LSU rRNA
Rfam family: Eukaryotic large subunit ribosomal RNA
Source: RNAcentral
ACUUAAGCAUAUCAAUAAGCGGAGGAAAAGAAACCCACCCGGGAUUGCCCUAGUAACGGCGAGUGAAGCGGCAAGAGCUCAAAUUUGAAAGCUGGCCCCCUCGGGGUCCGCAUUGUAAUUUGCAGAGGAUGCUUCGGGAGCGGUCCCCAUCUAAGUGCCCUGGAACGGGCCGUCAUAGAGGGUGAGAAUCCCGUAUGGGAUGGGGUGCCCGCGCCCGUGUGAAGCUCCUUCGACGAGUCGAGUUGUUUGGGAAUGCAGCUCUAAUUGGGUGGUAAAUUUCAUCUAAAGCUAAAUAUUGGCCGGAGACCGAUAGCGCACAAGUAGAGUGAUCGAAAGAUGAAAAGCACUUUGAAAAGAGAGUUAAACAGCACGUGAAAUUGUUGAAAGGGAAGCGCUUGCGAUCAGACUCGCCCACGGGGUUCAGCCGGCAUUCGUGCCGGUGUACUUCCCCGCGGGCGGGCCAGCGUCGGUUUGGGCGGUCGGUCAAAGGCCCCUGGAAUGUAACGCCUCUCGGGGCGUCUUAUAGCCAGGGGUGCCAUGCGACCUGCCCGGACCGAGGAACGCGCUUCGGCUCGGACGCUGGCAUAAUGGUCGUAAGCGACCCGUCUUGAAACACGGACCAAGGAGUCUAACAUCUACGCGAGUGUUCGGGUGUCAAACCCGUGCGCGCAGUGAAAGCGAACGGAGGUGGGAACCCUCACGGGUGCACCAUCGACCGAUCCUGAUGUCUUCGGAUGGAUUUGAGUAAGAGCGUAGCUGUUGGGACCCGAAAGAUGGUGAACUAUGCCUGAAUAGGGCGAAGCCAGAGGAAACUCUGGUGGAGGCUCGCAGCGGUUCUGACGUGCAAAUCGAUCGUCAAAUUUGGGUAUAGGGGCGAAAGACUAAUCGAACCAUCUAGUAGCUGGUUCCUGCCGAAGU